GACGACGCUGGCGGCGUGCCUAAUACAUGCAAGUCGAACGAGUGGCGAACGGGUGAGUAACACGUGGGAACCUGCCCAUCAGAAGGGGAUAACACUUGGAAACGGUAGCUAAUACCGCAUACCAUCGGAUGUGCCCAGAUGGGAUUAGCUAGUAGGUGGGGUAAAGGCUCACCUAGGCGACGAGCCCUAGCUGGUCUGAGAGGAUGACCAGCCACACUGUAACUGAGACACGGUCCAGACUCCUACGGGAGGCAGCAGUGGGGAAUAUUGCACAAUGGGCGCAAGCCUGAUGCAGCCAUGCCGCGUGUAUGAAGAAGGCCUUCGGGUUGUAAAGUACUUUCAGCGGGGAGGCGUUACCCGCAGAAGAAGCACCGGCUAACUCCGUGCCAGCCGCCGCGGUAAUUC
This 405-nucleotide ribosomal RNA is filed under the name uncultured bacterium. RNAcentral's name for it is "partial 16S ribosomal RNA". It matches the Rfam family "Bacterial small subunit ribosomal RNA", at positions 33 to 526 of the family's 1533-position model. The record is from RNAcentral.